UACGUAGGUGGCGAGCGUUAUCCGGAUUUACUGGGCGUAAAGGGAGCGUAGGCGGAUGAUUAAGUGGGAUGUGAAAUACCCGGGCUCAACUUGGGUGCUGCAUUCCAAACUGGUUAUCUAGAGUGCAGGAGAGGAGAGUGGAAUUCCCGGUGUAGUGGUGAAAUGCGUAGAUAUCUGGAGGAAUACCGGUGGCGAAGGCGGCAUCCUGGACCGGCAUUGACGCUGAGGAGCGAAAGCCAGGGGAGCAAACGGG
RNAcentral lists this ribosomal RNA (253 nucleotides) under uncultured bacterium. Its description in RNAcentral is "partial 16S ribosomal RNA". It matches the Rfam family "Bacterial small subunit ribosomal RNA", at positions 524 to 776 of the family's 1533-position model. The record is from RNAcentral.